UUUGGAAGGAUCAUGUCCGAGCGUUGCUGAGAAUAAGUGAGCCCUGGGAGCCAGACUUUCAUCCUCUUUCAUUACAGGAGGAUUUUCCCUCCGCUGUAGCCCCAUAAUAAGCAUUAGUUAUGAAGGUCAAGAAGAGUUUCAGGAAGAUAGCUAUGCUAAUUGAAGACUGGCUAAAAUAAGUUAUUAAAGGUUACCAUUAUUUCUACUUAUGAAAAGUUUUCAAAGUGUGUCAAGUAAAAUAACCUUUUGUCUUUUAAAAAAUGAGAGAGUCUAGCUUACUUACUUGUUAAGGGUUUCCACUGAUGUAAAUUAUUGCCAGCCUCCCGGGUUUCAGAAAUCAGUCCCUCGCUCCUCUGUCCUAUAGUAUCUUACAAUGAGUAAGGAAAAAAAAUCUGUUUAUACAAGUUUCUUUUAUACCUCAUCUUUUAAGAUCUUUCUGCAAAUAACUUCGAGUAUAUAUUUUAGUUAAUUUGAUUAGUACAUCUACUGAAGAUGAGAAAAUAGUUUAAACAAUAAGUUGUCAGCACCUCUACAGAACUUUAAUUAAAACAGAAACAACUUGGAUUUAAUAUUUUAUUACCAAAAUAUUGUCAUAGAGAUUAUGGGACUUGAUUUGCGCAAAGAUUUUUAGGGCCACCCUUGAUAUGUACAAUAUCAUUUACUAUGAUUACCAUUAAUAUUUAUUAUAUAUUAUAUUACCAUAUAUUAACAUAAUAUAAAAUGUAUUAUUGAGACAAUAUCUUUUAAAAAUCAUACCUUAAUUGAGUGGGUUCUUUUUUCUUUGGGAAAAAAAAAGACUAUGUUUUUUAUUUAUUUGUUUGUUUGUUUGUUUGUUUAUGUGUGCUUUUGUGUGUGAGUAGAGCGGAGAGGACCUGUAGAUUUUCAGUCUUUCCUUUCACCUGUGGGCUCUGUGGACUGAGCUCACAUCCACACUGUGGGCAGGCACUUUUACUUGCUGAGUCAUCUCUCUGCCUAUCAGAUAAAAUUUGUUUUUUUUUUUCACUGUUAUAGCAGUACUAUAGGGAAUACUACUGCUCUCUGUAGUUUGUUUCUUCCUUUAAUCUUGUGCGAGGAAAUGCACACAUAUCCAUGAUGUGUGUGUAAAGUACACAAAACUUUGGAUAUAAGUUUGCAUUUUAUUUUGGUUAUGACCAGAUCUCUUUUUCUUUGCCACUGGACAGUUAAGGCUAGCUGGCAGAUCCCCAUCUCCUGGCUCUCAUGUCCUUGAAACACACAUGUAGCAUGGCGACUGCUUUUAUCCAUGCAGCCUUCUCUCCACCCAUCUGCAGUUCUUUUAUAUUAUCACUUUCUUGUUUUGUCCUAACUCAGAAACACCCUUCCCUAGUUAGGAAAUAAGUGCAAAGCAGAGUAACCGGGAACCAAGCUUAUUUUUUUAAUCUUUUGAUGCUUUGUGUUUAAGUCUUAUCCCCACCUCUUCCAAGUGCAUGGCUGAACAAGCUAGUAAUUUACAUGUGCCUCAGUUAUCCUGUCUUUGAACUAGUGGAGGACAGUCUCCCUUUGCUGGAACUAUAGAAGCAGAGUACAAAGUGCUAGAGGUAGUAGGUACAGCCAAGGCAGGUUCUUGGCCUUCAGCGCAUCAACCCUUGGCAUCAUUUUAAAUUAAUACAUUAAUAAUGAUCCAAAGGCACUGACUGGGCCGUGAUGUCUGGCUGCUUAACAGCUUGUAGAACUCUUGUAAAAACAUCUAGUUCAUCUUCCAGCACCCACAGCAACUGUGGGUACCAUCACUCACAUGCAUAUACCCCCAUACAUAAUCAAAUAAAAUAUAUUUUUCAGUGUCACUCACAAUUGUGUGCUGCCUUCAUCACCUAGUUCUCAGGUCUGCGGAGGCUCCCAUACAACACUCAACUACUAAUUUUGAAUUUUCUGAAAUCUGUUCUGGGAUUGCAGUUGACUCCAUUGCCUAGCAUUACUUAUUUCACUCCUGGGCUUUUCAUGACAGUGAGAACCUAUUCUCCCCAGUCAUCCCUUGUUUUCUCUUUACUGGGAUUUCUCAGAAAUCUUUCACCAUUAGAAUUCUCCAAGUGCACAUCAUUGUUUUGAAUUUACAGGCUUAGCUCUUUGGAUGUGUCCUUUAAUGAUGACUUCAUUCCAUAGUAAAUCAUUUGCAAUCAUAGUAAAUCAUUUGCAAUAGCCAUUGUCCAUAGUAAAUCGUUUGCAAUAGCCAUUGUACAUGUUCCUGUGUUGCUUAAUUCUUUUCCUGCUGUAGGAACACUCUCUUUUGCCAGCAAGGCAGAAUUCAAACUGGCCACCAGUUUCUGCUGUUGCCCACUGUACCUAAUGCCAAACCCAUACUUUUAAAAUAGAUUUUCAUUUAUUUUGUUUUAGUGCUUGUAACACAAACAGGAACCUCCUUGAUGUGCCAAUGAAAGCCCUCCGUCUGAUGAAUUGCUAAUUGACAUUGCUUCUAUGAAGCACACUGGAUAUUUCAUGAAGAAGAAACCUAGAGACAGUACUCAGUGGGUUAUUAGUCAUAUUUGUGUUUGCCUCAAAUUCCUUCGGAGGAGUUUCUUUAUGUUUUCCAGUUUCUCUUUUAAAAUCUUUUCCUC
RNAcentral lists this long non-coding RNA (2570 nucleotides) under Mus musculus (house mouse). RNAcentral describes it as "long non-coding RNA chr5:48211674-48214244". The record is from RNAcentral. Lineage: Eukaryota; Metazoa; Chordata; Mammalia; Rodentia; Muridae.